GGUGAGAUUGGCUCUGAUGGACCUAAAGGAGACAGAGGAGAACCAGGCAUGACGGAGGAUGAGAUUCGGUCUUAUGUUCGAAGUGAGAUGAACCUGCAUUGUGCUUGUGGAGGUGUUCAGGAAGUUGAGAAACCUGUACAAGUGCAGG
Sinocyclocheilus rhinocerous is the source of this 148-nucleotide long non-coding RNA. RefSeq lists it as uncharacterized. Lineage: Eukaryota; Metazoa; Chordata; Actinopteri; Cypriniformes; Cyprinidae. The transcript has 4 exons. The record is from RefSeq and is a predicted model, not a curated record.